RNAcentral lists this ribosomal RNA (560 nucleotides) under uncultured bacterium. RNAcentral's name for it is "bacterial SSU rRNA". It matches the Rfam family "Bacterial small subunit ribosomal RNA", at positions 335 to 885 of the family's 1533-position model. The record is from RNAcentral.
ACUCCUACGGGAGGCAGCAGUGGGGAAUCUUCCGCAAUGGACGAAAGUCUGACGGAGCAACGCCGCGUGAGUGAAGAAGGUUUUCGGAUCGUAAAACUCUGUUUUCAGGGACGAAUGUGCACAGUGUAAAUAAUGCUGUGUAAUGACGGUACCUGAGUAGAAAGCCACGGCUAACUACGUGCCAGCAGCCGCGGUAAUACGUAGGUGGCAAGCGUUGUCCGGAAUUAUUGGGCGUAAAGCGCGCGCAGGUGGGAUAUUAAGUCUGGUGUUAAAGUUCGGGGCUCAACCCCGUGAAGCAUUUGGAAACUGAUAUUCUUGAGUGCAGGAGAGGAAAGUGGAAUUCCUAGUGUAGCGGUGAAAUGCGUAGAUAUUAGGAGGAACCCCAGUGGCGAAGGCGACUUUCUGGACUGUGUCUGACACUGAGGCGCGAAAGCCAGGGUAGUGAACGGGAUUAGAUACCCCGGUAAUCCUGGCCGUAAACGAUGGGUACUAGGUGUUGGGGGUAUCGACCCCUCCAGUGCCGGAGUUAACGCAAUAAGUACCCCGCCUGGGGAGUACGG